GUGCUCACUCUGGCAGCACAUAUACUAAAAUCAGAAAAUAGAGGUUAGCAUGGCCCCUGCACCAGGAUGACACGCAAAUUUGUGAAGCAUUCCAUUAAAAA
Small nuclear RNA from Ailuropoda melanoleuca (giant panda), 101 nucleotides. NCBI's taxonomy places the organism in Eukaryota, Metazoa, Chordata, Mammalia, Carnivora, Ursidae. The record is from Ensembl.